Molecule: long non-coding RNA, 1563 nt
Filed under: Sus scrofa (pig)
Lineage: Eukaryota; Metazoa; Chordata; Mammalia; Artiodactyla; Suidae
Description: lncRNA (ENSSSCG00025008560.1)
Source: RNAcentral
GGAAAUUCUAGAGAGAGAAAUGGAUAAUUAAUUCUGCCUGGGCAGUGCAGGCAGAAUUGUCCCUGGAAAGAUUUCAGUCAGGACUUUGAAAAUAAUUGCCAAGUAAUCUGGUAUGGUGAAAAUAUACAGUGCAGGAGAAAGAAGGACAAUUUAGAUAUAAUGUAAAUUGAAACAAAUCAUGAAAGUCUUUGACGAACUUGCUAAGGAAUUUGGGCAAUUCAGGCUCUUUGACCUAAAUUUCUUCAUCUUAAAAUAAAGGAGUUGGACAGAGCGAUUUCUGAGUUCACGACCGGGUCUAAAAGUCUAAAUAAGAUUACAUUAAAAAGUUCAAGAGGAAAUGCUUUGUAUGAUAUCUGGCAAGAUGAUAUCAAUUCCUGUAAGGAUAAUGCCAAGUCAGUAACUAUUAUUCCAAACUCCAGAAAAAUAACCUCUCUUGCAUCAUCGUAAUAGUGCCUAAUUGAAAAAAAAAAAAAAAAGGAAUUUUUUUUUUAAUGAAUCAGUACUACUUUAAUAUUGAAGUAAUUAAGUGGUUGCCAAGGGGGAGGGGAAGGGAGUGGGAUGGAUUAGGAGCUUGGGUUAACAGAUGCAGACUAUUGCCUUGGGAAUGGAUGAGCAAUGAGAUCCUGCUGUGUAGCACUGUCUAGUCCCUUACGACGGAGUCUGAUAAUGUGAGAACAAAAGAAUGUAUACAUUUAUGUGUAACUGGGUCGCUAUGCUGUACAGUAGAAAAAAAUUUUUAAGUAAUUAAAUUUAUUUGAAAUCAUAAGGGCAGGGCCCCAAUUAGAUAGGGUUAAUGUCUCAAUAGUAGGAAACACAAGAGAGCUUGUUCCCUCUCUUUCCUCCUGUCCUCAGAGGAAAGCCCAUGUGAGGAUAGGCAAGGUGGCCGUCUGCGAACCAAGAAGAGGGUCCUCACCAGAAAUCAAAUCUGCUGGACCUUGAUCUUGGAUUACUAGCCUCCAGAACGUGAGAAGUAGACUUCCGCUGUUUAAACCACCCAGUCUGUGGCAUUUUGUUAUGGGAGCCUGUGCUAAUACAGAUAACCAAUAAAUGUUUAUGUGCUGUGGGAUAGGUUUUUUGGUUUGUUUGUUUCAGUUCAGAUAUUAAAGUCUGUUUUUAAAAUGUGAUUGCAAUAUUUGGAAUAGUUGAAUUAUUUGUUCUUUAUGAUAAUGUCUGAGCUCUAGAAAAUAAUAUAUUUUAACUGAUUUUGCAGCAAUGUCUGAGCUCUAGAAAAUAAUAUAUUUUAACUGAUUUUGCAACAAUGUGGUUAUAAAUACAAACUUCCCAAUUGCCUUAUUUCAUUUGAAAUGAGAACAGUCAUUGAUUUUUAAACUUCUCGUUUUUUAUAUAUCUGAACUUGUUCAGUGAGCUAAAUACUAGCAGUGUUAAAAAAUCCAAUGGGCUAAUGAACUUGGUGCAUAAAUGAAUUUCAAAGCAAACAUAUUCAAUUUUGUUUACUUUUUUCUACUUUUAAGGGAGUUGUAGUUAUCUGCAUAUCUGUACUAAUAGUUCUGCUAAUUAUCUUGGCAUUCACUCAAUAAAAAUCUUUUCACCAAAGGCAAAAAG